GUAGAUUCUCCUUCUAUGAGUACAUUAUUUACGAUUAAUCAUAGAGGAAAAUCCACGU
Molecule: microRNA precursor, 58 nt
Filed under: Bos taurus (domestic cattle)
Lineage: Eukaryota; Metazoa; Chordata; Mammalia; Artiodactyla; Bovidae
Also listed under: 1 other name
Source: RNAcentral